GGUCUUGAGGGUAUAUAUAUGUGUAUAUAUGUACACUCUCCAGUGACCGCCACUCAGCAACAAUCGGCUAACAACGGUUUAUGGACAGUCAUACUCUCUGCAGCUAAACUCUGGGGCCACAUGGGAAAAUAUUGAAUAAGAAUAUUUUAUUCAAGACUGGAAUUUCAAGCAGCUUGUAAUCAUGGUUGCAAUGCGGUCAUGCGCUUGAAACAAUUGGAACUCAUUUCUUGAGGAAAUCCAUUGGAAUGAGAGACAACACAGCACGGGGGAAUCAAAACUUCAUUAAAGAUUGAUGACUCACGUGUCGAAACGACAGACUAUCCCUAGCAGUAAUUUGUUUGUGAUGGGAUGAAAUCGAUACUGAUGAAGAAGUCGGAAGGGAAAGUCGGUGGCACAAGUGACUGGAGCUAGGAAGAACACCAAUACAGAUGAUCAAAGCAAUGCAGAUUGAAUGUUUCCUCUACAACGAAUGAUUGACUUUUAUACGAGUUGAGAACGAACGCAGAAUUACAAAGUUUAUGUACAACAUUCCUCUAACAUUCGGUUUCAAGACUGAGAGAACAUUACGGACCGUCAAAAAUUUUUUUGUCCCAAUAUCAAUGAAUAAAUACAAUAUUAAAAAUAAUAACGUUGAAAAUCGAUGAUGAAAAUUAUAGGAUAUAUCAUAAAUAUUGGAAAUUAAUUCAAUUAGCUCUAUAUAAAAAUAAACUGCGAGGACAGGCUAUUUUAAAUGCAGGAAAUAAAAUGAGCACGUGACAUCUAUCCACUGGUAUUCUUGGUGACAAAAGGGCGAGAGUCAAAGUACAGUUUUCCUGAUGAUUGGGUAAAUAUAGACGAAGUUAUUCUCGAUUUAAUGCUAAAUAUCAGUCACUGUGACAAGUGGUACGAUGGUGUAUACGUCCGGUCAGACAGCCAAUUUCUUUCCACACUUUUUCGGUGGAAAUAAUUGAGGGUGUAAUUAUUUUAAUUGCAUUACGUAGAUUGCAGUUAAAUAUUCAAUUACAGGGACCGGUGGAGAUGUAGAAGUUGAUCUGGGUAAUAAAACAGAUGCUCGUUGGGAAUCAAACCUUUUCAGAAUGGUUGCUUGAUCCAAUAGGUCGUUUCAUCUUACAUCGAAAGCUGUAAUACACAUCUGGUGUUACUUUCUCCAUUAUAUUUUACGCCUAGGGGAUACGAAUUUCAUUUAGAUGAUGGUAAUAUGAGGAAUGUUGAAAUAUUCAAUUUUCAUAUUUCGAUUGGUUAAUGCAUUAUGUCACGUUGUAGGUUGCGAGAAAAAAUGUGAAGUGUCACAUUUGAAUUGAAUUUCUGAUAAUUUAAUUAUUUCAUUUCUAUUGCCAGAUUAUUCUCAAGGGUUUUUUUCCGCGGCAUG
Fopius arisanus is the source of this 1369-nucleotide long non-coding RNA. RefSeq lists it as uncharacterized. Lineage: Eukaryota; Metazoa; Arthropoda; Insecta; Hymenoptera; Braconidae. The record is from RefSeq and is a predicted model, not a curated record. The transcript is spliced from 3 exons.